CAACACUCAACCACUGAGCCACGCCAGCCGGGCUCAGCAUUCAGCAAUUUCAGUUAAAAUGCAGAACGAUAAAUCAUAACUUUAUCAACUUCCCCAGAGGCCUUCAGAACAAAAGAAACAAGUGCAGCUAUGUGCAGUUGCUCUGUGAAUUCAUCCUAAAAGAUGCAUCUCGCUAUCCUCUGGAAGGUACAUACCAACUUACGAAGAGCACGUGGGUGGAGGAAUGGAAACCAGGCAGCUGGAAGGGGAAAAAUGCAACGUACAGAUCAUUUCACCCGAACAGACGUGGUGUUUGGUGUGGUUUUGCUUUGAUAUUUACCUUUUUUUUCCCCCCCACGAAGAAUGGAUUCAGGUAUUCCUUGAAUAAUUAAAAGU
Molecule: long non-coding RNA, 375 nt
Organism: Eptesicus fuscus (big brown bat)
Lineage: Eukaryota; Metazoa; Chordata; Mammalia; Chiroptera; Vespertilionidae
Exons: 3
Source: RefSeq, a predicted model, not a curated record